UACGUAGGGUGCAAGCGUUAAUCGGAAUUACUGGGCGUAAAGGGCGCGUAGGCGGCCGCCUAAGUCAGACGUGAAAUCCCUCGGCUCAACCGGGGAACUGCGUCUGAUACUGGGUGGCUUGAAUCCGGGAGAGGAAUGCGGAAUUCCAGGUGUAGCGGUGAAAUGCGUAGAUAUCUGGAGGAACACCGGUGGCGAAGGCGGCAUUCUGGACCGGCAUUGACGCUGAGGCGCGAAAGCCAGGGGAGCAAACGGG
Molecule: ribosomal RNA, 253 nt
Filed under: uncultured bacterium
Lineage: Bacteria
Description: partial 16S ribosomal RNA
Rfam family: Bacterial small subunit ribosomal RNA
Source: RNAcentral